UACGGAGGAUGCGAGCGUUAUCCGGAUUUAUUGGGUUUAAAGGGUGCGUAGGCGGAUUUUUAAGUCAGCGGUAAAAUGUCCGGGCUCAACCCGGGCCGGCCGUUGAAACUGGGGGCCUUGAGUGGGCGAGAAGAAGGCGGAAUGCGUGGUGUAGCGGUGAAAUGCAUAGAUAUCACGCAGAACCCCGAUUGCGAAGGCAGCCUUCCGGCGCCCUACUGACGCUGAGGCACGAAAGUGCGGGGAUCGAACAGG
This 252-nucleotide ribosomal RNA is filed under the name uncultured bacterium. Its description in RNAcentral is "partial 16S ribosomal RNA". It matches the Rfam family "Bacterial small subunit ribosomal RNA", at positions 524 to 776 of the family's 1533-position model. The record is from RNAcentral.